RNAcentral lists this transfer RNA (87 nucleotides) under Pseudomonadota bacterium. RNAcentral's name for it is "tRNA-Leu". It matches the Rfam family "tRNA". From Rfam's summary of the family: Transfer RNA (tRNA) molecules are approximately 80 nucleotides in length. Their secondary structure includes four short double-helical elements and three loops (D, anti-codon, and T loops). RNAcentral also lists the same sequence under 1 other name. Lineage: Bacteria; Pseudomonadati; Pseudomonadota. The record is from RNAcentral.
GCCGGAGUGGCGGAACGGGCAGACGCUGGGGACUUAAAAUCCCCUGGCCGCAAGGCCGUGCGGGUUCGAGCCCCGCCUCCGGCACCA